GGCUAGAGUGGCAAAAGGAUAAGACUGAUGAGCUCACCAAAGAAAGAGACUAUCUAAAGGAGCAAUUAGCAGCAUCUCUCUCAAAGGAACCCACAAGUUCUGUCCAGGAUUCCAGUGAGGUAUUGGGCAUAUCUUCACUGUCCUCUGAUGGGUCUUUUGAUGAGAGUUCUGACUCCUCCAUGAGCACAACUGCAUCAGAUGAAGAUAGGAAGAAGAGGAAGAAGGGCAAAGCAAAAAAGCACAAGAAGUCAAAGAAACGUGACCAAAAACAAAGAAAAAGAGUCCAGAAUCCUAAGCAAGUGGUCACCGGUAUAACAAGAUUUUGAGGCUGUUCAAAAGAGGAGGGACCAUGUCUGCUGCCUUUAAACGUCUGGGAGUGGACGGAACACAAUUGUGGCAACUGCUCCAAUUGCUGAGCUAUUCAUUGUUGCACCUGAGAGGUAUAAAGAAUUAGAAAAAAACAUGCAGGGACAGAAACUUUCAUUGUUUGCUACACAGUGUGCUGCAGCAAUCAGUGCAGAUCCAGAAACAGAGG
This is a long non-coding RNA of Oreochromis aureus, 535 nucleotides long. The record is from Ensembl. NCBI's taxonomy places the organism in Eukaryota, Metazoa, Chordata, Actinopteri, Cichliformes, Cichlidae.